CCUGAUGCAGCAACGCCGCGUGAGGGACGACGGCCUUCGGGUUGUAAACCUCUUUUAGCAGGGAAGAAGCGAAAGUGACGGUACCUGCAGAAAAAGCACCGGCUAACUACGUGCCAGCAGCCGCGGUAAUACGUAGGGUGCAAGCGUUAUCCGGAAUUAUUGGGCGUAAAGAGCUCGUAGGCGGUUUGUCGCGUCUGCUGUGAAACCCCGAGGCUCAACCUCGGGCCUGCAGUGGGUACGGGCAGACUAGAGUGCGGUAGGGGAGAUUGGAAUUCCUGGUGUAGCGGUGGAAUGCGCAGAUAUCAGGAGGAACACCGAUGGCGAAGGCAGAUCUCUGGGCCGUAACUGACGCUGAGGAGCGAAAGGGUGGGGAGCAAACAGGCUUAGAUACCCUGGUAGUCCACCCCGUAAACGUUGGGAACUAGUUGUGGGGUCCAUUCCACGGAUUCCGUGACGCAGCUAACGCAUUAAGUUCCCCGCCUGGGGAGUACGGCCGCAAGGCUAAAACUCAAAGGAAUUGACGGGGACCCGCACAAGCGGCGGAGCAUGCGGAUUAAUUCGAUGCAACGCGAAGAACCUUACCAAGGCUUGACAUAUACGAGAACGCUGCAGAAAUGUAGAACUCUUUGGACACUC
Molecule: ribosomal RNA, 636 nt
Filed under: Microbacterium sp. So3Ps_1878
Lineage: Bacteria; Bacillati; Actinomycetota; Actinomycetes; Micrococcales; Microbacteriaceae
Description: bacterial SSU rRNA
Rfam family: Bacterial small subunit ribosomal RNA
Source: RNAcentral